UAUUUAAUCUUUUUGUCUAUCCUGUUUUUAUAUAAGUCCUCUAUUAAUUUGAAAGUCGAAUUCAAAACCUAGUUGGUUGUAAACAAGAAAAUAAACUUGUUAAUGGUGCAAAAAAAUCUAACAUUUUAGAUUAAUAAAUGGAGGUAUGGAUUUUAUUGCUGAUCCUUAUUAUUACAUGACCAUAAAUCAAUUUUCAAAUUAUAAGAUUAUUAAUAUCUAUAACUCAGGCGAGAUAAACGAUAACGACUAUCUUGCUUUUCAGUCACACAUGAACAAAUUGGCUCUAAAAAUAUCUACAUGUGGUGUUUAUUUGUCCGACGUCAUAAGACGGAAGCUUAUAAAAGACAUACAGUCGAGUUAGGAUAGGCAAUGUGUUGUGCUUUUAACGGAGUGAGCUGGUCUAGACACAAUGGAAGAACAUUACACGGCUAUUUUAUACGAAAAGUUGGGUACAUUUGUUUGGGUACCUAACGAAUGGCCGGCUCGUAUAGAAAUUCUAUUGCUGGCCUUAGCAGAGAGGAUAAUCGAUCAUUAUAACUAUGUGAGUCCUAUUAUACAGAUAAAUAAUGUACCAACCAAAUUAACUCGUCGCACUGACACUGCUGGAUUUUAUUACGUUUUCGAGAAAGUAUCUCACGAAAAAAUUUUUGGUGCUUAUAUUUACAAUGUAGAAGUACCUAAAAAUGGAGAAAGUAUUAAGAUAGAAAUAAACAGCGGAAGAAAUUUUGGCAGUGAUACACGGCCAAGUAACACGACGGAUUUCCUACCGGACGUUGCUAGAGUGUCACCUGGGCCAACAUUUCCGAAAUCGUGUUGGGGCGCACUGUCCAGUGGGGGAAGCAAUAGUAACAUACUUCGUCGACGAUUGCUCGGAAGUACUAAGCGCAGGACUUAUCAACGGAAGCACAGCGGCGGCUUCCGCAGCAAAACGAUUAACAAGCGCGGAAUUUUUUAGCUGCUUCAUGGAAUUAACUUGUUCAAAUGAAACUGUAAAAGAAGUUUUCUUUCAUUUCCCCACUAUCAGCUGGAUCCAAACGACAACAGAAAUAGCAGUUAAACAAUGAAAUGAUGUCAUGCUGCUUUUGGCGGUCGCCGCGAUAUUCUUCUUAUGUCAUGAUAUAAUUGAUUAAGCUAGGUCAUAAGUAUUAUACUGUUGUAAUGUCAUUUUCCCAGAUCUCUUAUGUAGGUUAUUGUGUGUU
This is an RNA transcript of Microplitis mediator, 1199 nucleotides long. RefSeq lists it as uncharacterized. The record is from RefSeq and is a predicted model, not a curated record. The transcript is spliced from 6 exons. NCBI's taxonomy places the organism in Eukaryota, Metazoa, Arthropoda, Insecta, Hymenoptera, Braconidae.